UACGGAGGGUGCAAGCGUUGUCCGGAUUUAUUGGGUUUAAAGGGUGCGUAGGCGGCUUUUUAAGUCUGGGGUGAAAGCCCGUUGCUCAACAACGGAACUGCCCUGGAAACUGGAGAGCUUGAGUACAGACGAGGGUGGCGGAAUGGAUACUGUAGCGGUGAAAUGCAUAGAUAGUAUCCAGAACCCCGAUUGCGAAGGCAGCUGCCUAGACUGUAACUGACGCUGAGGCACGAAAGCGUGGGGAGCGAACAGG
RNAcentral lists this ribosomal RNA (253 nucleotides) under uncultured bacterium. Its description in RNAcentral is "partial 16S ribosomal RNA". It matches the Rfam family "Bacterial small subunit ribosomal RNA", at positions 524 to 776 of the family's 1533-position model. The record is from RNAcentral. RNAcentral also lists the same sequence under 1 other name.